UUUACCCUACGGGGCGCAGCAGUGGGGAAUAUUGCACAAUGGGGGGAACCCUGAUGCAGCGACGCCGCGUGGGCGAUGGAGUAUUUCGGUAUGUAAAGCCCUAUCGGCAGGGAAGAAGCCGACAGUACCUGACUAAGAAGCCCCGGCUAACUACGUGCCAGCAGCCGCGGUAAUACGUAGGGGGCAAGCGUUAUCCGGAUUCACUGGGCGUAAAGGGAGCGCAGGCGGCACGGCAAGCCUGGUGUGAAAACCCGGGGCCCAACCCCGGGCGUGCAUUGGGAACCGCCGC
RNAcentral lists this ribosomal RNA (289 nucleotides) under uncultured bacterium. RNAcentral's name for it is "partial 16S ribosomal RNA". It matches the Rfam family "Bacterial small subunit ribosomal RNA", at positions 333 to 639 of the family's 1533-position model. The record is from RNAcentral.